This 30460-nucleotide long non-coding RNA is filed under the name Hordeum vulgare. RNAcentral describes it as "long non-coding RNA (HVUL_LNC005516)". The record is from RNAcentral. Lineage: Eukaryota; Viridiplantae; Streptophyta; Magnoliopsida; Poales; Poaceae.
UUUUUUUCUGUAAGAGCUUUUGAGUUGAUUCUUUUUUAUGCUGAUUGCUACGCAAAAUAUUCAGACUGACUUAAUUUUGCAGAAUUUGUGAAGUACCAUAGGUAUACGAAAUAUACAGAUUGCUACAAACUGGUCUGCUGUUAACAGAUUCUGUUUUUAUUGUGUUGGUUGCUUAUUUUGAUGAAACUAUGGAUAGUAUCGGGGGGUAUUAGCCAUGGAAGAUUGAAAAUACAGUAACCCAACACCAGCAUAAGUAGAAUUUAAGUUUUCUACAGUACCUAAGGAAGUGGUGGUUUGCUUUCUCAUACUAAUGUUAUCAUGAGUUUCUGUUUAAUUUACGUGUUGUGAAGUUUUCAAGUUUUGGGUGAAGUUCUUAUGGACAAAGAGAUAAAGAGUGGCAAGAGCUCAAGCUUGGGGAUUCCCAAGGCACCCCAAGAGAUUCAAGGAUGUCGUAAAAUCCUACGCUUGGGGAUGCCCCGGGAAGGCAUCCCCUCUCUCGUCUUCAAUUCAUCGGUAACGUUACUUGGGGCUAUAUUUUUAUUCACCACAUGUUAUGUGUUUUUGCUUGGAGCGUAUUGUAUCGUAGGAGUCUUUUAUUUUUGUUGUAUCACAAUCAUCCUUGCUGCACACCUAGAGAGAGAGACAUGCACACGCUGUGAUUUUGUCGAGCUUCACUUAUAUCUUUUGGUAGACAAUUCAGCUCACAUGUGCUUCACUUAUAUCUUUUGAGCUAGACACUUUUGCUCUAUGUGCUUCACUUAUAUCUUUUAGAGCGCAGCGGUGUGUGGCUUGGUAGUUGAUCUAUGAUUUGAAAGUAGUCUCAAAAGGGGUAGUUAUCCAAAGGGAUACGAAAACUUCCACCUUCAUGUGCAUUGAAUAGUUAGAGAAGUUUGAUUCAUCUCAAUUAGUUUUGAGUUGUGGUUAUGGUAAUAUUGAAGUCAUGCUAGUAAGGUGUUGUGGAUCUAGAAAUACUUGUGUUGAAGUUAGUGAUUCCCGUAGCAUGCACGUAUGGUGAACCGCUAUGUGAUGAAAUCUGAGCAUGAUUAGUCUAUUGAUUGUCAUCCUUUGCGUGGCGGUCGGGAUCGCGCGAUGGUUUAUACCUACCAAACCUUCCCCUAAGAGUAUGCGUUGAAUGCUUUGUUUCGAUUACUAAUAAAACUUUUGCAACAAGUAUAUGAGUUCUUCAUGACAAAUGCUGAGUCCAUGGUUUAGAUGCACUUUCACCUUCCACCAUCACUAUCUUCUUAGUGUCGUGCAACUUUCGUCGGUGCACAAAACCCACCAUUAGCCUCCCUCAAAACAGCCACCAUACCUACCUACUAUGGCUUUUUCAAAGUCAUUCCGAGAUAUAUUGCCAUGCAACUACCACCCUGACAUGUGCCCCCACGUCUACUUUGCCUUUGCACGAUCGUAAGAUAGCUAGCAUGAUGUUUCCAUUGAUGUCUAUGCCAUGCUAGAUCAUUGCCACGGUACACUACCGAAGGCAUUCCAUAUAGAGUCAUCGUUACUCUAAGUUUUGAGUUGAAAGUGUGAUGAUCAUCAUUAAUGGAGCAUUGUCCCAUGUGAGGAAAUAAAAGAGGCCAAAGAAGACCACAAAAAAAGAGGCCAAAGAGCCCACCAAAUAAAAAAAUAUGAGAGAAAAAGAGAGAAGGGACAAUGCUACCACUUUUUCCACACUUGUGCAUAUUAAGCACCAUGAUCUUCAUGAUUGAGAGUCUCUCGUUUUGUCACCGCCAUAUAGCUAGUGGGAAACUUUCAUUAUAUAACUUGUCUUGUAUAUUCCAAUGAUAGGCUUCCUCAAAAUUGCCUUAGGUCUUCGUGAGCAAGCAAGUUGGAUGCACACCCACUAGUUUUCUUUAAGAGCUUUCACAUACUCGUAGCUCUAGUGCAUCAUUUGUAUGGCAAUCCCUACUCAUUCACAUUGAUAUCUAUUGAUGAGCAUCUCCACAGCUCAUUGAUAUGCCUAGUUAAUGUGACUAUCCUCUCCUUUUUUGUCUUGCAACCUCCACUACAUUCCACACCAUCUAUAGUGCUAUAACCAUGGCUCACGCUCAUGUAUUGCGUGAGAGUUGAAAAGGUUUGAGAAAGUAAAGGUGUGAAACAAUUACUUGGCCAAUACCGGGGUUGUGCAUGAUUUAAAUUCGUUGUGCAACGAUGAUAGAGCAUAGCCAGACUAUAUGCUUUUGUAGGGAUAACUUUCUUUUGGCCUUGUUAUUUUGAAAGUUCAUGAUUACUUUGCUAGUUUGCUUGAAUUAUUAUUGUUUCCACGUCAAUAGCAAACUAUUGUUUUGAAUCUAAUGGAUCUGAACAUUCACGUCACAUAAGAGGAAUUACAAAGGACACCUAUGCUAGGUAGCAUGAAAGCAUCAAAAAUUCAUUCUUAUCACUUCCCUACUCGAGGACGAGUAGGAGUUAAGCUUGGGGAUGCUUGAUACGUCUCAAACGUAUCUAUAAUUUUUUUAUGGUUUCACGCUGUUAUCUUGUCUUCUUUGGUAGUUUUAUGUACCUUUUAUAUCUUUUUUGGGACUAACUUAUUAAUUCAGUGCCAAGUGCCAGUUCCUAUUUUUUCCGUGUUUUUGACUCUUUUCAGAUUUGAUUCUGGAACGGAGUCCAAACGGAAUAAAAACCCUGAAAUGAUUUUUUCCCGAACGGAAGAAGACCAGGGGGCCUUUGGGCCAAUCCAGGGGAGGGAUCCCACAAGCUCCCACCACGCCACCAGGGGGGAGGCGGCGGUGGGCAAGCUUGUGGCCACCCUGGCCGCCCCCUGACCUAGGUCUUUGGCCUAUAAAUUCCCAAAUAUUCCGCAAAAAUCAGGGGAGCCUCGAAAAUACUUCUCCGCCGCCGCAAACUUCCGUUUCCGCGAGAUCUCAUCUCGAGACCUUUCCCGGCGCCCUGCCGGAGGGGACUUUGGAGUUGGAGGGCUUCUUCUUCAUCAUCAUCGCCCCUCCAAUGACUCGUGAGUAGUUCACUUCAGACCUCCGGGUCCGUAGUUAGUAGCUAGAUGGCUUCUUCUCUCUCUUGGAUCUUCAAUACAAAGUUCUCCAUGAUCUUCAUGGAGAUCUAUCCGAUGUAAUCUUCUUUGGCGGUGUGUUUGUCGAGAUCCGAUGAAUUGUGGACUUGUGAUCAAAUUAUCUAUGAUAUAUAUUUGAGUCUUUGCUGAUUUCUUAUAUGCAUGAUUUGAUAUCCUUGUAAGUCUCUCCGAGUCUUGGGUUUUGUUUGGCCAACUAGAUCUAUGAUUCUUGCAAUGGGAGAAGUGCUUGGUUUUGGGAUCUGCCAUGUGGUGACCUUUCCCAAUGACAGUAGGGGCAGCAAGGCACACAUCAAGUAGUUGCCAUCAAGGGUAAAAAGAUGGGGUUUUAAUCACUGGUUUGAGAUUAUCCCUCUACAUCAUGUCAUCUUGCUUAAGGCGUUACUCUGUUCUUAUGGACUUAAUACACUAGAUGCAUGUUGCAUAGCGGUCGACGUGUGGAGUAAUAGUAGUAGAUGCAGAAAGUAUCGGUCUACUUGUUUCNAUGUAAUCUUCUUUGGCGGUGUGUUUGUCGAGAUCCGAUGAAUUGUGGACUUGUGAUCAAAUUAUCUAUGAUAUAUAUUUGAGUCUUUGCUGAUUUCUUAUAUGCAUGAUUUGAUAUCCUUGUAAGUCUCUCCGAGUCUUGGGUUUUGUUUGGCCAACUAGAUCUAUGAUUCUUGCAAUGGGAGAAGUGCUUGGUUUUGGGAUCUGCCAUGUGGUGACCUUUCCCAAUGACAGUAGGGGCAGCAAGGCACACAUCAAGUAGUUGCCAUCAAGGGUAAAAAGAUGGGGUUUUAAUCACUGGUUUGAGAUUAUCCCUCUACAUCAUGUCAUCUUGCUUAAGGCGUUACUCUGUUCUUAUGGACUUAAUACACUAGAUGCAUGUUGCAUAGCGGUCGACGUGUGGAGUAAUAGUAGUAGAUGCAGAAAGUAUCGGUCUACUUGUUUGAGACGUGAUGCCUAUAGAUAUAAUCAUUGCAUAGAUAUCGUCAUGACUUUGCGUGGUUAUAUCAAUUGCUCGACAGUUAUUUGUUCACCCACCGUCUACUUGCUUUCGUGAGAGAAGCCACUAGUAAACACUACGGCCCCCGGGUCUAUUCACAUCCAUCGUUUACAUCUCCGCUUUUACUUUGCUUUGUUACUUUGUUGCUUUCAGUUCUCACUUGGCAAACAAUCUAUAAGGGAUUGACAACCCCUUCAUAGCGUUGGGUGCAAGCUUUUGUGUUUGUGCAGGAUCUUGAGAUACUCUUCCGCCGGAUUGAUACCUUGGUUCUCAAACUGAGGGAAAUACUUACCGUCGCUGUGCUACAUCACCCUUUCCGCUUCGAGGGAACACCAACGCAAGGCUCCAGGGCCACGAGGGAAAUCCUUUGCAUACUUGCCUAGGAAGUCCCUUAAGGCGUAGCCGUAGCUGAAGGAUUCCUGGUGCCAUCGACACAACUAUUUCUGGCGACGUUGCAAGGAAUACACAACAAACAUCAGUAUUGUAUCACCAUCACAUCUUUUGCCUUUACCUUUUCUUAGUUCGUUCCUUUUUGAUUUUAUCUUUCUCUAGUAGAAUAAAGGUCUUAGUGUUUUAGGCUUGAGUUUUGCUUUGUGUCACCCCCGAUGUAUUCGAGCUCGUGAGCCAUAUAAUAAAGAGUUACUUAGUUAAGGGACUUGCCUCAUGCCAUGAUCAAAAGAAUGAGCAAAGAUCAAAAGCAUGAAAAGAUCAUGCAAUGAUCUUAUGGGAAGUGAUGGCUUCACAUAUAAAAAGAAUGAUGAUUGAAACUUGUUGAGGGUAGACAAACAUAGACCUUGGUCAUUGUUGCAAUUAAUAGGAAGUGAUAAAGAAGGCGAGGUUCACAUAUAAAUAUAUCAUCUUUGACACCAUCUAUGAUCGUGAACACUCACUAAACUAUUGCAUGCUUAGAAGUAGAUGUUGGACAAGGAAGACAACAUAAUGAAUUGUGUUUGCUUGGUUCCGAACAAUGUUAUAUGACUAGAGAUCCCUUAGCAUGUGACGAUUGCUUCCACCUCAUAUUAGCCAAACCUCUCGCACCAAGUAGAGAUACUACUUGUGCAUCCAUAAACCUUCAACCCAGUUUUGCCAUGAGAGUCCACCAUACCUACCUAUGGAUUGAAUAAGAUCCUCAAGUAAGUUGUCAACGGUGCAAGCAAUAAAAAUUGCUCCCUAAUAUGUAUGAUCUAUUAGUGUGUGGAAAAUAAGCUUUGUACGAACCUGUGAUGAGUAAGACAUAAAAGCGACAGACUGCAUAAUAAAGUUCUUUAUCACAUGAGGCAAUAUAAAGUGACGUUCCUCCGCACUAAGAGUGCACACAUCCAAACCUCAAAAGCGCAUGACAACCUCCGCUUCCCUCUGCGAAGGGCCUAUCUUGUACCUUUACCUUUUGCCUUUCAAAGAGUCAUGGUGAUCUACACCAAUUCCUUAUUUCACCUUUAUCGUGGCUAACGUCAUAUUCUUGGGAAAGAUCUAUAUUCAUAUGUCAACUUGGAAGUAAGUAUUCAUGAAUUAUUAUGGUUGACAUUACCCUUGAGGUAAGUGGUUGGGAGGUGAAACUAUAAGCCCCUAUCUUUCUCUGUGUUCAGCUAAAACUUUGAUCUCAUGAGUACCCCAUAAGUUGUAGCAAUUGUAGAAGACAAAAGGAUGAUUGAGUAUGUGGAUUUGCUUUACAAGCUCUUAUUUGACUCUUUCCGAUGUUGUGAUAAAUUGCAAUUGCUUCAAUGACUAAAGGCUAUCGGUUGUUAAUUCUCGGUAAGGUUCUUGAUCCAUGCUUUACUUUGUGAAGGAAUUGUCACUUUAGAAUAAGAGAUGAUAUGAUGGUAUUGUUGUUCUGACAAUGAUCAUGAUGCCUGCAUGUUCGUAUCUUGUUUUGUCGACACCUCUCUCUCUAAAACAUGUGGGCAUGUUUAUUGAUCUUGGCUUUCGCUUGAGGACAACCGAGGUCUAAGCUUGGGGGAGUUGAUACGUCCAUUUUGCAUCAUGCUUUCAUGUUGAUAUUUAUCGCUUUAUGGGCUGUUAUUACACUUCAUGGUACAAUACUUAUGCCUUUUCUCUCUUAUUUUGCAAGGUUUACAUGAAGAGGGAGAAUGCCGGCAGCUGGAAUUCUGGCCUGAAAAAGGAGCAAGUUUGAGAUACCUAUUUUGCGCAACUCCAAAAGCCGUGAAAAUCAACGAGGAUUUAUUUUGGAUUUUAUAAAAAAUAUUGGGUCGAAGAAGUACCAGAGGGGCGCCAGUAGGAGGCCACAAGCCUGCUAGGCGCGGCCUCCCCCCUGGCCGCGCCUAGGGGGCUUGUGGGCUCCCAGUUCCCCCUAUGCCCCCCUCUUUUGCUACAAGAAGGGUUUCGUUCCACAAAAAAUCAAGAGCAGGCUUUGGGGAGGAAUCGCCGCGGCCAUGAGGCGGAACUUGAGCAGAACCAAUCUAGAGCUCCGGCAGGACGAUCCUGUCGGGGAAACUUCUCUCCCGGAGGGGGAAAUCAUCGCCAUCGUCAUCACCAACACUCCUCUCAUCGAAGGGGACUCAUCACCAUCAACAUCUUCAUCAGCACCAUCUCAUCUCCAAACCCUAGUUCAUCUCUUGUAACCAAUCUCCAUCUCGCGACUUCGAUUGGUACUUGUAAGGUUGCUAGUAGUGUUAAUUACUCUUUGUAGUUGAUGCUAGUUAGAUUACUUGGUGGAAGAUUAUAUGUUCAGAUCCUUGAUGCUAUUCAUUACCUCUCUGGUCAUGAAUAUGAUUAUGCUUUGUGAGUAGUUACUUUUGUUCCUGAGGACAUGGAAUAAGUCAUGCUAUAAGUAGUCAUGUGAAUUUGGUAUUCGUUCGAUAUUUUGAUGUGUUGUAUGUUGUUUUUCCUCUAGUGGUGUUAUGUGAACGUCGACUACAUAACACUUCACCAUUAUUUGGGCCUAGAGGAAGGCAUUGGUAAGUAGUAAGUAGAUGAUGGGUUGCUAGAGUGACAGAAGCUUAAACCCUAGUUUAUGCGUUGCUUCGUAAGGGGAUGAUUUGGAUCCACUAGUUUAAUGCUAUGGUUAGACUUUGUCUUAAUUCUUCUUUUGUAGUUGCGGAUGCUUGCGAGAGGGGUUAAUCAUAAGUGGGAUGCUUGUCCAAGUAAGGGCAGUACCGAAGCGACGGUCCACCCACAUAUCAAACUAUCAAAGUAGCGAACGCGAAUCAUAUGAACAUGAUGAAAACUAGCUUGACAGAAAUUCCCAUGUGUCCUCGGGAGCGUUUUACCUCCUAGAAGACUUUGUCCAGGCUUGUACCUUGCUACAAAAGGGAUUCAGCCACUUUGCUGCACCGUUGUUACUUUUGUUACUUGCUACUUGCUACGAAGCAUCUCACCAAACAACUACUUGUUAUCGAUAAUUUUAGUGCUUGCAGAUAUUACCUUGCUGAAAACCACUUGUUUGAUCCUUCUGCUCCUCGGUGGGUUCGACACUCUUACUUAUCGAAAGGACUACGAUAGAUCCCCUAUACUUGUGGGUCAUCAGGUAUCAUGUGCUUCUUUCAGCACCUUCUCUGUCGUAAGAUCGAAUCAGGGUACCACAAUGCGAUCACUGAAGUACAAGGUUCCAUCUUCAGCAAACGAGAAAUCUCUGGAUGUUUCUAAAUCAAGAUCCCUUUUCAUGCGAUCAACAUGAGUAUCUUUGCCUUGCGCGGACUUAAUAGCUCCCAGAAGAGUUGGUUCCAAGACAAGGUUAUUAAGAAAACCGUGUGGAACAAUGUGAAGGUUCAAUUUGCAGAACUCUUCAUGAAGAUGAGGAUUAGCCCUCUGAACCAUGUAGUUGUUGCGGUAAGCUUUUUGAGUCAAGGCAUCGACGAGGACAUUUCCCUUGCCAGGGGUAUAAGAAAUACCCUAGUCAUAGUUCGUCCAUCGCCUUUGACAAAGAUUUACAUCUCGCCGAGUAAACAGAUACUUCAGAGUUUGAUGGUCGGUGUAGAUCUCACAACAAUUACCGAGAAGGUAAUGUCGCCAUAGCAAUAACGAAUAGAUAACUACAACAAGUUCAAGGUCAUGAACUGGAUAGUUCUCUUCAUGAGGACGCAACUAUCGUGAGCUAUAGGCAAUUACAUUGCGCUCUUGCAUUAGAACACAGCCUAAUCCGUGACGAGAAGCGUCACAAUACAUGACGAAGUCCUUAUGAGUAUCCAAAGGAGAAAGCACUAGAGCAGCUGUCAGCUUGUCCUUGAGCGCUUGGAAACUUUCAUGACAUUCUUCUAUGCACUCAAACUUAACGCCUUUAUGAAGCAGAUUGGUCAAGAGUUUGGCAAUCUUGGAGAAGUUCUCGACAAAACAACGACAAUAACUGGUGAGUCCGAGAAAACUUCUUACUUGCUUGACAUUCUUCGAGGGAGUCGAGUCAAGAAUAGCGUGAACUCGUUCAGGGUUGACCACACUACCAUCCUUCGAUAUCACAUGACCAAGGUAGGUCACUUAGUCCAAACAAAACUCACACUUGGAAUACUUGGCAUAAAGUUGAUGCUCCCGAAGCUUUUCUAGUACAAGACGAAGAUGUUCAACAUGCUCUUCUUUAUCCUUGGAAUACACCAGGAUAUCAUCCAGAUAAACCUUAUUGAGGUAGUCCAUGAAGAUAUAAUUCAUCAACCGAGAGAAGGUUGCUGGACCAUUGGUUAAACCGAAAGACAUAACGGUACACUCAUAUGAACCAUAGCGAGUAACAAAUGUGGUCUUGGGAAUAUCUUCUUCACGAACACGGAUCUAAUGGUAACCAAACCUCAAGUCGAGUUUAGAUAAUAUCGAGGAACCAACAAGUUGGUGAUACAGAUCAUUGAUCUAUGAGGAGUUCCCAUAAAUUAUAUUGAUCUAUGAGGAGUUCGGACACAUGAAACGUCGCUAUCUACCUCUCCGGCCAACCCAAUCCUCCCUCCCGGUCUCAUUUCCUUCCACUCCGCCCAUUCUUUUCCUUACUGUGCACCCCCACCCUUCACUUUCGUUGUCGUUCUUUUAUCUCUCCGGCUGUCACAUAGGCACUGUCGGACGUCCGCAACCAUCAUCAACACGCCCGCUUGCCUAGCUAUCAACCUUCGAGACGUUUGUACCCAGGUACACUUCGCCCCCCUAUCGACGGCCUCCAUGACGGACACCACUGAUACAUCUCCAACGUAUCUAUAAUUUUUGAUGGUUCCAUGCUAUUAUCAUGUCAACUUUGGAUGUUUUGUAUGCAUGAAUAUGCCAUUUUAUAUCUUUUUUGGGACUAACCUAUUAACUCAGUGCCAAGUGCCAGUUUCUGUUUUUCCGUGUUUUUGACCUUUUUCACAGGAGAAUAUUAAACGGAGUCCAAAUGGAAUAAAACCUACGGAAUGAUUUUUUUCCAUAACACAAGAUACGCAGGAGACUUGAGAACCAAGGCAGGGGACCUCGGAGGAGGUCACACGCCCACUAGCCCCGGCCUGGGUGGGCCUAGCAGGCUUGUGGGCCCCCCGUGGCUCCUCUGCCCUACUUCUUCCGCCUAUGAAUUUUCCAAAAAUCUAAAAAUACCAGAGAGAGCCACGAAAAGACAUUUCCACCGCCGCAAGCUUCUGUCUCCGCAAGAUUCCAUCUGGGGCACGUUCUGGUGCCCUGUCGGAGGGGCGGACACAGAGGGCUUCUUCAUCAACACCAUUGCCUCUCCGAUGAUGCGUGAGUAGUUCACCACAGACCACCGGGUCCAUAGCUAGUAGCUAGAUGGCUUCUUCUCUCUCUUGGAUCUUCAAUACAAAGUUCUCCAUGAUCUUCAUGGAGAUCUAUCCAAUGUAACUUUCUUUUGCGGUGUGUUUGUCGAGAUCCGAUGAAUUGUGGAUUUAUGAUCAGAUUAUCUAUGAAUGUUAUUUGAGUCUCCUCUGAUCUCUUAUAUGCAUGAUUUCAUAUCCUUGUAAUUCUCUUUGAGUUCUGGGUUUUGAUUGGCCAACUUGAUCUAUAAUUCUUGCAAUGGGAGAAGUGCUUGGUUUUGGGUUCAUAUCGUGCGAUGUCCUCACCUAGUGACAGAAGGGGUAGAGAGGCACGCAUCCUGUUGUUGCCAUCAAGGGUAAAAAGAUGGGGUUUAUAUCUAUCGCAUGAAUUUAUCCCUCUACAUCAUGUCAUCGUGCUUAAGGCAUUACUCCGUUUGUUAUGAACUUAAUACACUAGAUGCAUGCUGGAUAACAGUCGAUGUGUGGAGUAAUAGUAGUAGAUGCAGAAAGUAUCGGUCUACUUGUCUCGGACGUGAUGCAUAUAUGUAUGAUCAUUGCCUUAGAUAUCAUCAUGACUUUGCGCGAUUCUAUCAAUUGCUCGACAGUAAUUCGUUCAUCCACCGUAAUACUUGCUAUCAUGAGAGAAGCCUCUAGUGAACACUAUGGUCCCCGGGUCUACUUCACAUCAUAUUUUCAGCUCUACACUUUUACUUUGUUGCACUUUCCACCUUCAGAUCUCACCUUGCAAAUAAUCGUGAAGGGAUUGACAACCCCUUUAUAGCGUUGGGUGCAAGUUUGUUUGUUUUUGCGCAGGUACAUUGGUGACUUGUCUUGAUACUCCUACUGGAUUGAUACCUUGGUUCUCAAACUGAGGGAAAUACUUACUGCUACUAUGCUGCAUCACAUUUUCCUCUUCAAGGGAAAAACCAGCGCAAGCUCAAGAGGUAGCAACCACGCACGGCAGAUGUUCGAUCAAUGCCAUUGAGCUUAUUUUCAAACACUAUAUCAUUUUUAGAGCAUGAAGGAUGAUGAACUAAUCAACCAUGGAGGAUGAAUUGUUGUGCGGUACGUGGUUGGUCGUAUCCGCGGAUUUCAUAGGGCAUGAGAAAAGGGGAGGCCUUCUAACAGCAAGUGUAUAAAACUUUCAUGAAUGAAAGCACAUUGCGUCCUACGACAUGUAUAUCACUCAACCAUGCAACAUGAUGUCGUUGUGGUAUCUGGUAUGCUAUCCACGCCAGCGUCACCAAGUAUUGUAACGUGGUUCGUCAGCUCGAGGCAAGGUGGCCAUUGCAUGUGAGAGAGAACGAGAUCGUAAGUUUUGCUUCUCCUUACUCAACUUGUUAAUUAAUUUAUUACUCAAUGUUUAUUUAUACAUUAUAUUUAACCCGCACGCAUUGCCGUGGUUUAUUUAAAUACGGGUUAAAAUGUAUGCGGCUACAACUUGAUAACGUACGUCCUUCCGCAUUUGUCUUCGCGGACUGGUUUCUUUGUCCUCGAACAAAUGCAGAUUUUUUUUACGGGUGGCCGUUGAAUAUGCCGCUACCACUCACAUGCUUUUUCCUGCCUAUUACUGGAUACCGAUACGAAUGACGCGGUCUCUUUUGCCCGUCAUUGACAAAGGUGUGGGUAUAGCCAUUUCUUUAGCAGCGAAGCUAGUAAUUAAGCAGAAUCAGAUUCACGCGUGCAACAACUUCAUGGUGGAACUUCAUCGACAGUUCGACUCAAUAUAGCCACGCCGAUGCAACAGAUAAUGCAAAUUGGACAUUAUAUUUCUUGAUAUAAAGUUACAAGUUUCAAAUACAUGAGUUUAUUCCUUUGCUUAUUUCUGUGUGUACUCCACUUGGCAACCAUGAAUGGAGAAUGUAGACAUGCACACGCGUACGGCCAGUACAACACUCGCCAUAUGCAUGCAGGAAGCGUUUUACUUCUUGCACACAACACCUUUGCCGUCCAUGCCACUGGCGCAGGUGACACCAGCGAGCUCAGAUAGCACCGCGGCACCGUCGUUUCCACGGCUGACCCCAUAGCGCGCCACGCUGCAGUCCGCGGCGAAAAUGCUGGAGGUGGUGAAGGUGGCAUCUCCACCCAUGGUGGGCAUGGAGGCCCUCACGUCAAAAUGGUUGACGUAGUCGGAGCGGUAGGUCUGUCCGACCACACCGUGGACGUCGUCGGUGAGCGCGUUAAACUUGAAGGCCAGCUCGAGGUGCGCUAGGCAGUCAUCGUCAGUGACGCCGUAGCGGUGCACCCUCGAUUCCUCCUCGGUGAUGGGCACGGCGUUGGCCCUGAUGCUGAACUUUCUGUCAACGGCGACCAGCACGCCGUUGGCCGCCUUGGUGCGGGUGACAGACAGCUCGGGUACGCGGCUGGACGUCCACUUGGCACCAUCGACGAGGUCGGCGGGAAGGUAGACUGGUUCACCGUCCAAGGUGAUGUCUAGGUGCUCCACGGCGUCGUCCCAGGUGCCGGUCUUCCUGGCGCCGAGGUAGAGGCGGUGGCCGUCGAAGAGGACGGCGAUGGCCUGGAUCCAGGUGAAGUCCCGGGACAUGCCGCUGUGGCCGCUCUUGCCGAUGAAAUGCGCGUUGAUGUGAAGGUCACGGUCGGAGACGACGCAGAAGUCGGCAUCGCUGCGUCCGUGGAAGUAGAAGGCGUUGCCGUCACCACCAAUGAACCGCGGGUCGCCGCACGCCCCUGGGGUGUUGCACACUGCACCAGGGCACGAACCAUAACCAUUAACCAACAAAAUCAACGUUACUACAAUGUAGAGUAAGUACCUCCAUUGUUAAGGCAUCGAUCGAGUGCUUACCGCAGACGGGUUUGCAUGUGUUGCAGUCUGGGUAGCAGGACUGGGGGCAGUUGGCGGGGCAGUCCAUGUUCCGGUUGAAGCAGUAGGGGUUCUCCUUGCGGCUCUGAGUGCACUUGACCGUCGUUGGCUUCGGCUUCGGCUUCGGGCCCUGGGCUUUGGGUGGCCGUGCCGAGGAUUGCGCGGUGGCGGCCUCCGCGGCGGCGAGAAGGACGACAGCCGCUAAAGCCAGCACGACUCCCACACGCCUCGCCAUUGCGAUCGCCCUCACGCUCUCAGUAGUUACUAUGGUAUUUUCUUUUGUUGCUAAUGACUGGUGGAGAAGGAUGGGUGCGUUUGUAUGCAUGGCUCCAAGGCAAUUUAUAGGCGAUGGAUCGAGUUAGCUUGCUUCCUGCAUGGAGAUUGUCAACGCCGCGAGGGCCGGUAUGCCUUCACCGGCCGGAAACAUGCAUGCCGCUGGCUUGAAGCGAAAAACGUACUUUGCGUGCAUAAAUCCAUGCGUAGAAUCGUAGAUGGAGCUUUAUGCUACCUGCUACGUGCUAGCUACGUAGCUCCGGGCUAUAUACAUGCAUGUAAGUAUACAUAUGGAGUACUAGUUACCGUCCCUGGUUUUCAGGGCAAGAUUCCCAGGAUGCAGCUUAAUCUUGAAGAAAAAUGGCUAAUGCAUGUGCUUAACAGCCUGCUAAAGGAAGCGAUCCGAGAGAGUUUCCCCGUCGUCCUGGAUUACAAUAUAUAUCUCGUACGUACCCGUUUACUCUCGUCUUGUCCUAUUCAGUUUGUGGCAUCAUCCUCGGAUCAAGCAGUGGAGAGCUGGCAAAUUGUCAAAGCAUGGGACACCGUAGGCUAAAAUACUUCACUUUAAGCUAGUAUCAAGAAUAACAAGUAUCAAAUGCUUAGGUAAACUUAAGGAGAACUAUAUUAUAUGCAUUAAUGUGAAGAAAAAACUUCACAAUUCUAAAAUUUAAACAAGUCCAACUAGAAAAUGAGCACGAUCAGUAUUUAACUGCACAAUUUCUUGAUCCUCAAAAAACAAACUGCUUUAUUUCUCUGUAAAUUGUAAAAAAUGAAUGAGACCAACCCAGAUUAGACUAGUCUGCUGACAUUUUUUUAUAGAAGAAAACUCCAUGAGCAUCUAGUGUUAGAGCUGAGGCUCGAACACCGACGGACUGGCUGCAAACUCUAGCGUCAAGCCAAUUGAGCUAUGCUUAAAUAAUAGAGAAUAGCUCAUGUAGUUUUCGCAUGCCACCGAUGGUCCUCGGCGCCGUUCGUCUAAUGUUGCUUGCUGCCUUGUGAUUCCAACCUUACAAAUCUCCAGUAACUCCGUGGAUCGUGACGCUCCAUCUUCAAGCUAGGGAAUGAAGACGUGCAGCAUGCCGCACACAAUUGCAAGUCGCUGUCUGGCAUAUACUACCAUGCUCAAGAAUGUUACGAGUGAUCGAUCCAUUUCCUUUAGGUUUCCUUUUAUGCAUUCACGAGCAUGUGACUAAUUAUGGCCCAACAAUUGAAAUAACUAAAUGGCCCUAUGGCUAUUGCUACUGGUUGUUAGGAAUAAGCCCAAAACGCUAGGAAACGCGGUAGCUGGCCCAGUUAAAGGACGACAAUUAGUUAGCGAGCGUUUCUUCGGAGACUUUCAGCGAGCACUGCGUCGUCAUUUGGAGUGUUCUCACCCGUCAUCAUGUGUCGCGUUUUUUUGCACGAGUUUUUGGCUUUUUAGUUUCUCCACCUCAAAGACCAACGACUCCGACCUGUAAUUCUGUGCAGNUGUUUGGGUUUUUCACCGGUCUUUCUUAGUUUUUUGACAAAAAAAAUAAAAAUUGCAUCAAAAAACAUUUUUUCUGUUUUUUUGCGAGUUGCCUCUCGGAAAUGAAAAAACGUGUUUUCUUACGAGAGGCACGACUCGGAAAGGAAAAAAUGCUUUUUUUCCAUUAGAGACACGGUUUUGCCUGCGCGAGAGGCAUGCUCGUGCCUCUCGGAAAGAAAAAAAACCGUAUUUUUUAGCAAGAGGCACGGUUUUGCUUCCGCGAGAGGCACGGUUUUGCCUUCGUGAGAGGCACGGUUGUGCCUCUCGGACAGGAAAAAACCCGCAAAAAAACGUGUUUUCUAUAUUUUUCCUAUCACGAGAGGCACGGUUUUUUGGUCCUUUUUUUCAUAAUAAAACAGUUCAUCAAAAUCUAUCAACAUGGGAUCUAGUUUUGAAGCUCUCGACGCGAGAAACCCAACACUGAAAACGGUUCGAUAUUUAGAUACACAGUUUAGGAGAUAGAACUUUCUAAAAAUACGGAUCUAUGGAAAAAGGGAAAACUCCAGGGUUGCGACAAAUGGCAUGCAUGCAGUGUGCCACUUGUCUCAACCUGGGAGAUGGGAGUGAUCUUUGAAAAGGCGUACUCCUCAAUUAGUGAUUUCGGUACAGAUCGUAUUUUCGAUAGUUCCAGCUAAAAAUUGUGAGAGGGGAGGAAAGUGUUGAUGUUAACAAUCAUACGAUUCUGGGUCUUAUUCCAAAGGUAGCAAGCCCCUCAAAUAUUCCACAAUUCUGCCCAAUCAGUUUAUGCGACGUUGUUUAUAAGAUUGCGUCAAAAGUGGGUGUAACCCAUCUCAAGCUCAGUCAUCCAGAGAUUAUCUCUCAUGAACAGUCUGCUUUUGUUCCUCGUAGACUAAUUAUAGAUAAUAGCAUCUCCGUAUAUGAGCGUUUGCGCUUCAUGAAAAGGAACAUGGCAAAGUCCAACUGCUAUGCAACACUCAAAUUCGACAUGAUGAAAACUUAUGACAGAGUAGAAUGGCAGUAUCUGGAGUCGAUCAUGUUGAAUCUUGGCUUUGAACAUCAUUGGGUCAAUGUCGUAAUGGGGAUGGUGAGGUCCAUCUCAUUUUUAGUUACUUUUAAUGGUAAAAAGCUUGAUGAGUUCAUACCAUCCAAGGGUAUUCGAUAGGGAGAUCCUAUUUCACCCUACUUGUUCCUGAUAGCAGCGCAAAGCCUUUCGUGUCUAUUGAAAUCCAACUAGUCGUCUCACUUGAACAUGAUAAAGGUGUAUUCAUCGGCUCUGCCGGUUAACCAUCUCAUGUUAGUAGAUGAUAGCAUGUUGUUCUUCAAGGCAAGUUCUCGGGGUGCUAACGAAGUGUCAAACCUAUUGAAUCACUAUCGCCAAGCUUCGGGACAACAAGUGAACACAGAAAAAUCUUCCAUCCUUUUUAGUAAGGGCUGCCCAAAUGUUACUCAAGAGGCAAUUAAACUCUCUCUUCAAGUUCCCAAUGAAUCACCUAAUGAGAAUUACCUAGGCAUGCCAAACGACGUUGGGCAUACAAAGAAUGCUUUCAAGUUUCUGAAGGAUAGAGUUUGGAACAAAAUAAAAGUUUGGAUUGAGAAACUUUUGUCUCCUAGGGAAAAGAGGUACUCAUCAAAUCGGUAGCUCAGGAAAUACGAGUCUAUUCGAUGGCAUGCUUCUGACUACCUCAAGAACUCUGUGAGCAUAUCAAUUCUCUUAUCUGCGGCUUCUGUUGAGGGAGUAAAGAAGGGGUUUGUGACCUAGAGCUUUUUAAUCUGGCUUUGUUGGCUAAGCAAGCAUGGAAACUACUUGAGGACCCAUCGUCUCUUAGCGCACAACUACUGAAGGUGAUAUAUUUUCCUAAGUCCGAUAUUCCUGAAGUUGAGUUGGGAUCUAACCCUUCGAAGUGUGGCAGGCAAUACUAGAUUGUAGAGAUGUUCUUAAGCAGGGACUGAUACGGUGCAUAGGAGAUGGUCAUACUACAAGCAUUUGGGAUAAAAAUUGGGUUCCAUGGGAGCCAUUGUUGCGGCCCCUAAACUCGGCUGAAGCUUCAUGGAACACCAACUUGGUAAGCCAAGUUUUUCUACCGAUAGAUGCCGAGGCGAUCCUCAGUAUACCAUUAUGCACAAAAGUGGCCUCUGAUUUUUGGGCUUGGCACUUUGAGAGAAAGGGCAUGUUUUCUGUGAGAUCGGCCUACAUGAUGCUUGUUGAUACUAAAAAUUGGAGGGAAAACUAGCUUGAUGGGGUUGCUGGUUGUUCGAUAAUACGAAGACAGUUAGGGUGUGGUCUAGGUUGUGGAAAAUUUAUGUCCCGUCCAAGCUGAAAGUUUUCCUAUGGCAACUUGCUCAGCAGCAGGGUUGGGCCUAUAAUGGUGCAAAAUGUGUUGCAUGCACAGUGCCCACAAUUUUGAAGGACCCCACAUUUUUAUAUAGGCCAAAUAGUAUUUUUCAAAAAAAAUCUAGCCGCUGGAGCUGGGCCUGAGUCGAUGAGGAGCUGGAGGUAGGCCUCGAGGCCAUCGAGCGCAGCAGUGCUAGUGCCGAUCAAUCUUUCGAUCGAUAAUAUGACAAUGCAAUCCUCAAAAACAAAAGAUAAUACGGAAAUGCUACCGUCGGUAAAAAAAUAUAAUCGCUAUAGAAGUCAAUUGGGAUCGUCUCGUCUAUCGAUCUGAAGACUAGCUGCGCUGGAUUCUCUAUAGGAAAAAUGAUCAUCUCGUCGCCUUCGCCUCAUCACAUCGAUCAGACCCAUGCCGCUACCGCUAUUCCCUUCCUAGCUUCCUCUUCCAAAUUUCAAACUCACCGUCUCGUCGAAUCGAUUCGUGACCAACCCCAACCACCAGGUGUUUGCUGAGUCCUCUAUUCCAAUUGCAUCGUUGUGUCUAAGUUGGGUCUAAUUCCUCACUUGGGUCUAAGUUGGCACGCAGGCAACCAACCACCUACACCCCGGUUGCAUCGCUGUGUCAAAAUCAUGCCUUUUCUUCAGAGUUGAGACCUGAAAAGUUGUAUGUGUAUUAGUAUAUACAACCAGAGUACUACAAGAGUAGGUACUUAGGUAGUGGAUGAAGAUGAAAUUGGGUUUUGACUUUGUGAAUGAUUAGCCAAGAAUGCAGAACCUUGGUCAUUGCAGUUGCAUCACAUGUUCUUUCUAGUGUUCGCCUAGUAGAGAGAGUAUCAAUUUCUUCCAGGGGCCUGUUAUUGUGAUAGAGUAAUAUAUAUUCUUUCUUCCAAGGGCCACAAUCGUUCAUAUUGGGUUUGUGGAAAUAGAGAUGGAUGUGUAACUGAAAAAGCAUCUUCAAUUAAGCCUGACCGGAGACUGUCUAAAAUCAUUGCAGAAAUUCGAAUUUCUCUUUGGAUGCACCUUGAAAAUGAAUGUAUGAAUGAUUUAGGGGAUGUAUGAAUGUUGUUGUUACUUCCUAGAUGAUUUGCUACUGUCAGUGAGAUCAGUCAUUCUAUUUGCUUGCAUCUGUAGUGUACUGUACUCCAUAUGGAGAUUUGCAAGUUUGAAGCUGUGGAUGGUUCAGUCCUUGUCAUUCAAUUAUUUGCAUUAUCCUGGCUCCCGGAUUACUUGUAAGUAAUUAACUGGACAUCUUGGAGUACUUAAUUACAAUAACUUGACUUGUUGUUAACUGUUGUACUCCUAAAUCCAAGCAAGUUGGAUUAACACCCUCUUCAGUAAAAUUAAAGAAUCUUUUAUGUGCUAUAUUAAAUGAUUAACUGAAACCUUUUUCUAUCAAUAUAACUAUAUUUUUUGGUGAUGUUAUCAUUUCAUCAAGUUUGCAGUUUACUCAUCAUUUUAUCAUGUGUGCUUUAUAAAGAUUUGAGUACUCGUUAUAGGUACGUGAGCCCUAGCUAAAUCAGCCCCUUCAUUUAUAGGUACCCGAACCCUAAAGCAGCGUGUUGACGAACUUCUUGAAGGACACGUGAAGUAUUGUUUGGUGGCUUUUAAGAUGAGACCAUACAUUUUUAAAUCUUUAGCAUCAUAUCUUAGAAGGAAAGAAUUCAUAAACACACACAAGACUCAAGGUCGAGGAGAAGUUAGCAUUCUUCCUGUACAUGUUGUCACAUAAUCCAUCAUAUGAAGAUAUGCAACUGGAAUUCAAGCAUAGUUGAUCCACGUUUCCUGAGUACAUCAACGCGUUCUUUGAUAUCAUCCCUGCCCUAUGUACUCGCUUUGCGGAGCCUCCAUGGAUUGAAAAACCACAUCCAAUAAUUGCUAACGAUGAGCGAUUCUAUCCAUACUUCAAGGUUGUUAUCUUGACACUUCAAAAAUUCCUUACCUUUCUCCAUUAAAAUUUCAGAAGUUAAUUAGCAAAUUUGAAUUUUUACAGAACUCUAUAGGUGCUAUCGAUGGAUCACAUGUUCCUAUUACCAUUGCACCUGAGAGUGUUGCCCCAUUUCGGAAUAGAAAGGGCACCCUGAGCCAAAACAUAAUGAUUGCUUGCAACUUUGACUUGAAGAUCACAUUUAUAUCAUGUGGCUGGGAGGGGUCUGCAACAGAUGCUAGGGUUCUUCGAUCUGUAAUGAACUCUGGGUUUAAAGUACUCGAUGGGAAGUUAUACCUCGUCGAUGGUGGUUACGCAAACAGAUGUCACGAUGUUACAUUCAAUUAGGAACCAAGCGAGUAUUCCAACAGCUACCGCAAUCUUUCAUUACAUCAUCAAAUUGCAUGCUGGUGAUGAGGAAUGGCUUGACAACCAGCAGAUAACAUACCAAUGGCUAAUUUUGUCAAUGUACCCAAUGACAAUGAUAACUACCAAGGGAACAACAUUCAAGGCAAUGCUUUGCGAGAUGAAAUUGCAAUGAAAAUGUGGAAUGAUUUCCCACAUAACUAACUCUUUGUAAGUUUGUGGAUGUAAUUGACAAUUUCUAAUUCAACUAAUUAAUUGUCUUCAAUUUGUGUGUUAAUUUGUUUUGUCCAAAUAGACAUGUAUGCGAAAGGGUCUCCCAAAUUCAACUUGGCACAAGUUGCUACCUUAUUAAGAAUGAAAGGUCUUCUUGGUGCUAAAAUGGAUUAACCAAAGUUUACCAAAUACAGUUCUCCAAAAGGUAUUCUUGUUUGUCACUACAAUUUCUACACGUCACAAGUAUUUUUAUGCACAUAGCCAUUUGAUCUGACUCUGAAUGUUCCAAACAUUAUUCUUAGCUUUGUGCUUUAAUUGGCUUGCGUAGUUGUGAAACAAAGAGCACAAUGGAGUUUAGGACUUGAAAAAAGGUUUGGUGGAGAUACUUAUGGAGCACCAUACUCCUUACCACCGAGGGCAAAAUGGAUUGAGCAAGGAAACUUGGAACUUGAUGGUGACAAAAUUCCAUGUGAAACACAAACAUGUAAAGUUCUCGAAGCCUCAAAUUCAAGAUAAGGAGAAGGAUCACAAAAGAGAAUGCAUGAUGUUAAAAUAAGCUCGAAAGUAAAGUGGUGUUGGCUGGGAUGGCAAAAGAUGUAUGAUAGAAGCUGACACCGACCUUUGGGAUAAUCUGGUGAUUGUAAGUUCUUUAAUUCCACCCUUCGAUAUGGUUACAAUUUUAUACAAUUCUAAUAUUCAUCUAUUACUCUGGUUCUAAUUACAUAAUUUCUCUAACACCAAGUGCAUGGAUGUGUUGAAGACAAUGGUGGCUAUCACCCGCAUCAAGAAGAUCAAAGCAUUCAACGUCUUCAAGGAUGCUGCAAACCGUGAGAUUUUCAUAAAUGCCGCUGAUAAUAAUAACGAGACUGAUGUUAUGUGGCUUCAGUGCGAGAUGUCCCCAUGAUGUAUGUUCAAGUUUUGAACUCUCAAGUGUUGACUAUAAUGCUUGUUUUAUUUCUAGAUGACUUUCUGUUAUAUGUAAUAUGUGUUAGAACAUACGAAACUAUUUAGUGAUCCCCUGCAGAAAGUUAUCAACUAUCUAUACAUUUAUAGAAGAAGUGAUCUAUGUUUCCCUCGAAAUAACAAAAGCAACAUCUAGUGUCUUUGGCUUUCAAAUUCCCCCUCUUAAAAUUGUCUACAGUCAAGAUACUUAUUUUGAGAAAAACCAAAUCAACACCAAGUUUUAGAGGAAUACGAUCUAGCCUACCACAUCUUGUGAGGACACAACACCUGCUGAGGUUUCAAUUCUGAAACGAUUAUUUUGCUUGCUUUGAACAUAAAUGGUGUCCACUGAUUGUGGUUGUGCAAAUCAUAUAUACCAUUGUUGAGUGCAAAAAUGGAUUCGCAAAAGAUUACCAAAAGGAUGAUCAUGACAUCAAAAGAGCAACUCAUCUCCAAUACAACAUCAUUUCUCAUCAUUUCUUGGCCUCCAAUAAUACUCAGCCUUGGACGUAAACAUCAACAAAGGGAAGGUUGUUGUGUGGCUAUAUUGCAUUAUUAUUGUUGCAAAUGUUUGUUGUGAAUGUGAUGUAGAAUUAUGUUGUUGAUGUGAUGGUCUGCAAAAUUAAGCCUUGCAAAAUUAUGAUGUUGCUGAUUCAAAGAUCACAUUUUUAUUUUGAUUCUCCAAUAAUCUUUGUCCCAUAAUUAUGUUAUGACUAUGAUUAAGUGUUGUUAUGAUAAGAUAUUGAUUCCAAGACAUCGAGAAUUAUGUUGUUGUUGUAAUGAUCUACAAAUAUCACAUUUUUAUUUUGAUUAUCCAAUAGUACAAAGGCAAUCCCCACGUGUGAAACAAUAUUUAUAUGUGCAAGGGAAUAUAGGGGAUUUGGAUGGAAAGGGAAUGUGGGGGAUUUUGAUGGAAGGGAAUGUGGGGUAUUUGAAGGGAUUGGGUGAAGGCAAGGGGAUCACCAAAUCCCCUACCCCCUAGUGGCUGGAAAAAAGCUAGUGUCAAACGAGGCCUUAAUGUGGACGGGGUGUUCUUUAGAGAUGAGAAUGGCAACACAGGUCGCAGCGGUUGCAUUUUUUAGAGAUGGGAAUGGGAAUUAUGUCACUCUAUUAUUGGCUCUUUAUUCUACCUAUGUACAUCUAAACCAGACACCAUGCUUAGUGUUUGCAUGUCUGCCCGUUUCCAAGCAACAACGAAGGAAUCACACCAUAAGGUUGUGAAACAUAUUCUUUGAAAUCUAGAUCACACACCAACGCAUGGAUUAUGGUACCCCAAGGGUUCAAAUCUUCACCUCGUUGGAUAUUCUGACUCGGACUAUGCUGGUGACCGUGUGGAUCGCAAGUCAACAUCAGGCACCUGUCAUUUCCUCAAACGAUCCUUAGUAUGUUGGUCAUCAAAGAAGAAGAACCGUGUGUCACUCUCCACUGCUGAAGCAGACUACAUUGCUGCUGGGUCUUGCAGUGCUCAACUGUUGUGUAUGAAGCAAACUCUCAAGGACUACGACAUCAACAUGAAGAAUGUGCCACUCUACUGCGACAAUGAGAGUGCAAUCACGAUUGCAUACAACCUAGUAUAACACUCGAACACCAAGCACAUCUUGAUUCAUCAUCAUUUUCUUCGUAAUCAUAUACUCAAGGGCAACAUUGUCGUCAACCACGUAAAGACUGAAGGACAGUUAGCGGAUAUCUUCACUAAGCCCUUGGAUGAAAAGAUAUUUUUCAUGUUGCGGUGUGAGCUAAAUAGCUUAGAAUCUUCGAAUGUUCUAUGAAAGGACACACAUCCUAACACUUAUGCAAAAUUGAUGACUUAUAUGUGCAACACACGAAGUAAUGUUUUUAUUCAAUCACUAAAGAAUAACACUUAAGUGUGAAGAAAUUAAUGAAGAAUUUGAUUCUCAGGAUCCUACGACAAUUGUAUGCGGUGCGUGAAAUCAUCAUUCUUAUACGGUGGCUCACGCCAACAACCCAAUUUGAAAUUAUUCAAGUUGAAAUUCUUCAAAAUUGAUAUUUUUGCAAAUUCUUCAAAUCUUCAAAGUCUUCAAAUUUUCAAAUUCCUCAAAUUUGCAAAUUCCUCAAAAGUUCAAAUUCUUCAAACUUUUCAAAAUAUGUUAUUCAUUGACUAUAUACUUAUUGGUGAGCUUAUAAGUCCUCAACAACAUUCCCUUAUAGAUAAGUCUUCAUGCGGUGUUUUUUCUUCUAAGUGAAUAUGAUCGGAGCUCAACCUAGUCUAUUCUCAAAUUCUUCAUAUGCUUUCCAUUUGAAACUCGUUCAAAGUCUUCACUAAAUCUUUGUGAGCUGAAGAAUUUGCAAACAAAGUCCUCAAAAAUUUAUUUAAAAAUUUCUCCAGCCGUUACGUGUGUGCCACCUGUCGAGCGGAGAGGAAGGGCCAGGGUCAUUUUGAUCCAAAAAUUUCGGGCCAAACUAUUUCUCACUUGGGCUACAAAUACCCAACUCUUACCCCCUCAGUCACUUCUUCCUCUCGUUUCCACUUCUCAUCGCUCGAAGCUAGUCCUAGCGUCGCAGGUGGAAAUCAUCGUCGCCUUACUCACGUCGGCUGCAGAUCUCCUUCCUCCUCCGCCACCAUAGUUGUCUUCAGCCGCCGAGUUAGGGCGCUGAAGAUCUGAACCGACGAGCUUCUAUUUUCAGCGUCUACAGUUUUUCGUGUUCUUCAUGUUCUUCAUCCAAGGUAAUUAAUAUCUAAUUUUACUACCACUAUAGAUCUUUAUGUUUUCAUAAAAUCUUUGAAAAAGUGUUACUCCUUAGCAAAUUCAUAAGAUAAACAUUUCUAUGUCUAAGAACACUUGAUAAAUUUCGCUAAGUUACACAAUUCCUCAAGAGAUUCCUCAAUUGUGUGAAUUUUUGGAUCUGCACAACUCUAUAAUCCAAGACAACGACACUCAGCAAAAUUCGUCAAAAACAAUAUUGGCCAAAUUCCUCAACUUGAGUCAUUUUUAAAAAUCUUGUGAGAACGCAUAUGACCUCUUCAAAUUCGCCUAUACUCUGUUCACACGUACAAAAUGGUUGCUAACGAAUCUCUAUGUUCUCAUCAACUUAACUCAUUUGCAACAUUUCUUGAAGAAAAUUUGCAUACCUCAUCACAGUCCUCAAAAGUUCAUAUUCCUCAAAUGAAGAAAAUGGCUCAUGAGAAGAAACAAAAGGGUGGAAAGAAGGCCGAUACCAACACUGCCUUUAAGAUUCUUGAUGACAUCUAUGAUGAAUAUUGCACACGUGACAAAUAAAUCUAUGGAAAAGAGACAAAAGAAAAGCGCAAAACACGCUUGCAGAAAAUUGAGAGAAGAUGAGCCAAAGAAUGGAGGGAGUAUAGGUAUGUGACUCCCAAAUAAAUGAGGAAAUUUGCAUUGAAGCCUCCAUGCAAAAGGCCUCCUCUAGGCGAUUAACAAGUUGCUAAUCCAACAAGUCUUGCAACUAUUCACGACUAUCCUGAAGAAUAUGCAAAGAAACACGCGAGACUGCAGAAAGUUGCACAUCUGGCCGUGAAGAAAUUCAAUGAGGUAUCUGCUGUUGCAGCUGUUGCUGCCUCCUCCUCUGCUGGUGAGGCUUUUGGUACUAAGACUGAUCCAAUGUGAGCUAUUUUAAAGAAGUAUGCUGCCAAACCGAAGUCCUCACCAGCACAAACCUCACAACAAAUUCCUUUGUCAGCCCCUAAAGUGGCAGCAAAGUCCUCAACUGCUUCCACAUAGUCUUCUUCGCCACUGAAGUUGAUGACCAGUCAGAAUCCAAUAGGGACUACAAUUCCCUUAGGGCCAUCUACUUCAGGCUCCGCACAUACUUCUUCUAGUGCUAACAUGAAGAUGAAAAUGACUGUUGGGCGAGGAAAAAGGCCCAACCCUAGCGAAGUCCUCAAUGUUCCUUCUGCAUCAGAAGAAGAAGGUGAAGUACUUGAAGCAAUCAUCAGGAACAAGCAAGAAAAGGUCGCACAGGCCAAAGGCACUACCAUUCCUCUCAUGAUGGAUCCAAAGAUGAUACUAGACUUCAUAGAUAUCUGUUAUAACAAUCCUGAAACACUAAUUGACGACUUGAAGCUUCCACCUGGACCAAGUCACAUGUUGACAACCUUCAUCAAUGAAUAAAAAUGGAAGGCGCAGAAGGCCAAGCAAGCCAGAAAGGCUCAGACUCAGAAAAAGAGCUUUUUGUAGAACAACAUUCUGACUAUGACCCCUGGUCAGCUUCUCACCGCUCAAACUGAGAUCAAGAAGUUGAGUGAAGAAUCAACCGCUUUAAUGCAGACUAGAAGGGCACAAAAGUCAGAUUCGUCAACGUUGCCAUCAAAGUCAUCACUGAACACAAAAAGCAGGUUGCAGCCAAAACGCAACCUCAAAUUUCUGCGAAUUACAUAGUUGAGUUGCGUGACGACUCUGAUGAUGAAAUUCCUCCAACUGACGAACCUGCCAAGGCAGCUGAAGGAGUGGCUGAGCCUGAAGAACCUAUUACUGCCAGGAUAACUGCAACAGUCGUGCCUGAAGAAACUGCUCCUGCUCCAAAAUAUUCACAAGUGAAGAAAGUGAAGCUUCAUGAUGCAUCAGAAGUGAAGAAAACAAGGCUUUUGAACAGGAAGUAGCAAAGAAGAGAAAGGCUUCAACGAGCUGAGAGUCCUCAGAAGCAAAAUGCUUGAUGACUUUUCCAAAUUCCUCAACUGCUCCAAUCGUUGCCACCCCUAUCAGCACAACACCCUCCUAUGUGAUUGUGACAUUUGGUGUCGAGCACAUCAUCCAAGAAGGGCCCCGAAGACACACAUUCUGCUUCUUCCACACCAAUUGAUGAAGAAAUUGAAGUUGAUCCAAAUCCUUCAAUUCCUCAAGCCUCGUCUCCUUAGCCACAGCAGAAUACAGAUGUGUGAGAUGAUGAUGUGGACAUUGGCAGCACCACACCUGUGAUCAAUGAUUACUAUUAGGAAGAGGCUCAUCCCAACUCACCAUUGACCACUCGCAUUCCUCAAGUUCCUCAGUCCUAUGCUGCCACUGGAAUUCUUACAGGGUCUGACGACAAGAACACUCCGAUGAAGACCAUCCCGGAGACGAAAUCAGCUGGAUCAGCUGAACACACUGCAAAUCAAACAUCUACUUGGGAAAGUGCUGCAUCUGAAAUUGAUGAAUCUGCGCAGCAUAUUCCUCAAACUGAGAAGAGUUCCGCUAAAGAACAUGUUCCUCAGAGUGAAGACACUGCCUCUGAACCUCAUGUUGAUAAUCCUCAGUCGACACUAGUCGUAGCUGAAAUUCCUCAAACUGAAGAGCUUCGAAGACUUGUGAGACGAUUCAAGCCAAAUCUUCAACCGAAGAGUCUUCAGCCUUACAUUGGAACAAAAAGGCCAAAUUUAGACAAGGCAAAAUUCUUUGAGGAACAACACUAUUUCAUCGGCGUAAAUCCUUACGACUCUCCAAGGAUAAGGUGCAAAAGAUUCUGGACACACACUCAGAUGAACUACUAUGGCGCUAUACUCUUCAACAAGGACAAGGUUUUUUGGCACGAGCAAAUUCGUCAUGCAGACAUGGAGAAUACUCCUUUCUUUACUCCAGUUCUUCGUGUUCUUCGUGACACUGGAUUACUACCAUUCUGCAUGGACAUCUAUGACUGGAAUGAAGACAUCAUUAUUUAGUUAUACUCUACAUUGAACAUCUCAGGACAUGUCUUAGAUGUCAACACUUGGGUUCUGGACUAGAUGACUCAAAACACUCACUACAAAGCCCCUGCCACGGAAUUACUUCGUGCAGUCCCAGUUCCAAUUUCCUCAGAUGGAGCCAGAUGUGUCUAUGGCGAAAUUGAACUGCCAAAUCAUAUGAUGCAAGUAUCGAUGAAGCCUUUGGCUCCUGGAAGGCAGACAAGAACCACAUUCCUCCUGAAGGAAUUACUUUAUGUGCCCCGGACAGUUUACUGAAUCUUGUCCAAAACCUUCCGUCCAAUCAAGGGUCAUGACGCCAAUGAUGAAGAAAUUGUGGGCAUCAUGAAGAAUUUGCUCUUCAAUAUCAUCCAUGGAAUUCCAAUAAAUAUUCAUGAUUUCUUCAUGAGGACUCUGGCCAACACAUCUUUGUCACCUUUUGAUAUGAAACCGCCCUGGAUAAUGAAAUUCAUCAGGGACAGAUCUACUCUUCCUUACAAGGCAAAUAUUUUGAAUCACCUCACCUACUUGACUCCCCUUGAAAUUGGCAAGAAAUCUUUUGAGAUGAUUGACGGCAAAGGGGAAUCUUCGAUUGAUGAAGGACCUCGGCCCCUUGAUGGCCAAUUUUUCAAGGCUGCGUCAUAUUCCACCAAUGACGACACUGCCUCUUAGGACUCAGUUGCGAGAGGAAAAUCCCCUGGCGAAUGUGCACCACGUGUGCUGACUGACCAUGAGAUCUUGCUAAGUCUUCAUCGGAAAAUUGAUCGCAACCACAAAUGGAUAAAGCGUCAGUUUGGUGCCAUUGUGAAAGACCUCAAUGCAAUUCAGAAUGCUCUAAAGAAAGAUCACUAUUAUUUUCAUGAGAUCUUUGACUGCACAUGGGCCAUUCUGUCUCACCACAAGACUUCUAAGGAACUCACUGUUAUGAAGUUCCAGCAAGACUUCGACUGGUCCUGGCCGCCAAAGAAUAAGUUCAAGAAGACUCCAGUUCCUCAACUGGUGGCCAACUCAUUUUCUUCAACGUGCACCACUAAUGAUCGUGGAGAUCUUGACGACGUUGCUGCGACGAACGACCCCAACGCUCCCCCUCCACCAACAAAGUGAUAUUAUUCAAGGGUGUUAGUCCUCAGUUUCGUCCCUCUUCGUCACUUGAUGACAAAGGGUGAGAAAUCUGAGUUAGUCUUCAAGUAGGUCUACUUUAUUAGUUUAUGGGCUUUUGAACUAUGUUUUCUUUAAGUUAGAACUCUCGUUCUUCUGAAGUGUUUGGUUGUAUGACUUGUAAACUUAUGCUCGGUGGUGGCCUGACACUUUUGAACCAUUUUUCCUCGCAUGCUUAUUCCUCAUAUUGAUUAAUGCACGCAUGCUGAAAUUCGAGAGACUCCACUUUCCAUCAUGCAUUUCAAUUUCCUCAUGAUAUAUGUCAAAUGCCUGCAUGGAUUACUAGAUAUAGGGGGAUAUCUCCAUGGUAUAAAUCUUGAAUGUGCAUUUGUUGUCUAAAGAAAAUUCCUCAAAUAUGCACAUCUUCAGGGGGAGUUUCUCUAUAUCUUGCAUUCAAAUUCCUCAAACUCUGUACUUACACUUCAUAUUAUUAUCCUCGUUGAAAACUUAACAUAUUUGUCAUCAAUCACCAAAAAGGUGGAGGUUGUAAGUGCAUCUAGUGCCCCUUAGUGAUUUUGGUGUAUUGAAGACUUAUAGGUUAAGAGACUGAUAUGUUUGUGAGUGUACACAUGCUCUAUAAGUCACUGAGGAGUUUGAGUUAUUUGAAUAAAACCGACCCCUAAAACUGUAUGUCUUCGGCUAAAGACUUUGAUAUUUCCUCUAAAGACUUUGAAAGUGAGGAAAUUAGUGUGUCCAUGAAGAAAUUGAUGCGAGGACUUUGAAGCGUGAAGACUUUUGCUUUCAUAGUUUUAUUUUUUGUAUUUCGUGUCAUAGGACCACCGUACUGUUAAAGGGGGUCGAGGGAAAACUAAGGAAACGUUUUCAAGUGAUGCUCAUUUCAAAGCCUACACAUACAAACCCUUCGGAUGAAGCCUUUGGAAAUCUUCAACAACUUAGUCAAAUUCUUCAGUGGCGGAGACGAAGAUCUUCUGGUCUCUGAGAAAUUUGCUCUAACUGAGGAGUUAGGUCUUCGCCAAUGCGAAUCACCUACCUGUGAGGAACAUGAGUGACAUGAGGACUUUCAUAGCUGAAAUGUUUCGACCGAGGUUGUGUUGCACGCCAGUUGUCCCCAACCUUAUCCACCUAACAAUCAUAUUAUUGGGGCAUUUACGUUAAUUCAUGUCGGGAUUGCUCCCCGGCUAUAAAUAGCUGCCCCCAUAACCACUAGUUGGUUGGCUGCUCCGCGAGAGAAACUGACACUUGCCAUUUGAGAGCAACCCAUUCCUCGAAGACUUUGAGAGAAAUUCUUCAGUGAGGAAAAAUCCCAAACACCCUAACCAAAACCCAAAGUGAUUGAGCAUCACUGAAAAGAUUGUUCCUGUGUGGAACCGACGAUUGUUACCUUUGAGGACUGUGCAUCCUCCAUACGGUUAGGCCUCAUGGUCUAGAGCAUCCAGCAGUGAAUUGUGGAUCGCCGAGUGACCAAGUUUGUCAGGGUUUGGAAGUCUGCCAUGAAGACUUACCAUGAGUGUUGGGCGAGGACUGUGUGUCCUUAGCUCAAGGACAAUACGGUAAGGACUUAGUGUCCUGGGACUGUGUGUCUUUUGGUUUAAAUACUAAGCCGCUGCAAACCAGACGUACGACUGUCACAGCAGUUGGAACUAGGUCAUCAAACCAUUGUCUUCAUCAAGCACCUAGUUCUAAUUCCUCAACCCUUUCAUUACCUCAAUUUUAUGUUCACGACUUUGAUCUUUACUGUUUGAAGAAUUUGACUGAAGAGUUUCUCAAAUUCCUCACCUCAAAUUCUUCACUUAACUUAUUCUUCACCCGCAUGUCUUGAUCACACUACUUGUGUAAUUCGAACGUUUCACUUCACUGUGAUGACUAUGCUUUCGUUGUUUUGCACAUCUGUUUGAAUACUAAGUCCACUCACUCACCUCGUAACUGGGGACUUUUCUCACAAUGAAUUUACUGAGUGAUGAAUUUAUAAAAAUAACCUAUUCACCCCUCCUCUAGGCGAUAACGCACUUUCAGAGACUCCACCCAUAGGCAUUAUCGGACAUCCGCAACCAGCAUCAACAUGCCUGCUUGCCUAGCUAUCCACCUUGGAGCCGUUUGUACCUAGGUACACUUCGCCCCCCUGUCGACGUCCUCCAUGGCGGACACCACGCGCGACAGAUGUCCAAUCAAAUGCCAUUGAGCUUAUUUUUAAACUCUAUAUCAUUUGUAGAGCAUGAAGGAUGAUGAGCUAAUCGACCAUGGAGGAUGAAUUGUUGCGCGGUACGUGGUUGGUCGUAUCCGUGAAUUUCAUAGGCAUGAGAAAAAGGGAGACCUUCUGACAGCAAGUGUACAAAACUUUAAUGAAUGAAAGCACAUUGCGCCCUCCGACAUGUAUAUCACUCAACUAGAUAACGUGAUGUCGUUGUCGUAUCGCUGGUACGCUAUCCACACCAGCGUCACCAAGUAUUGCAACGUGGUUCGUCACCUAUAGGUAAGGUGACCAUUGCAUGCGACAGAGAACAAGAUCGUAAGUUUUGCUUCUUCUUGCUCAACUUAUUGAUUGNNNNNNNNNNNNNNUACUCUAUACAUUAUAUUUAGCUCGCACGUACUGCCGUGGUGUACCACAUGACAUGAAAACAAUCAUUUACGUGCACGCAUUGUUGGAUGAAUCUCAAAGGUGAGUAUAUGUGGAAUGACAUGACCCGUUGAUGAAAAACCUGUUGGACAUCUGGGAUCUAGUGGAAUUUGAGACAUUGUUGUACUACAUGUAUGAAUGAUUUUUAUUAUUUUCCAUUCGGAUUUUAAUGAAUAUCGACCGUUUUGCAUGAAUUUCAUUUGACUUAUUUAAAUACGGAUUAAAAUGUAUGCAACUAUGGCUGGAUAACAUCCUUCCGCAUUCGUCUUCGCGGACUGAUUUAUGUGUCCGUGAAGAGAUGCAGAUUUUGUUUUACGGGUAGCCAUUGAAGAUGCCGUACCACUCACAUGCUUUUCCCUGUCCAUGACUGGAUACCGAUAAGAGUGACGCGGUCUCUUUUGCCCGUCAUUGGCACAGGUGUGGAUAUAGCCAUUUUUUAGCAGCGAAGCUAGUAAAGCAGAAUCAGAUUUACGCGUGUAACAACUCCAUGGUGGAACUAUAUCGACAGUUUGACUCAAUAGCCACGCCGAUGCAAGAGAUAGUGCAAAUGGGACAUUAUAUUUCUUGAUAUAAAGUUACAAGUUCCAAAGACAUGAGUUUAUGUCCUUUGCUUAUUUCUGUGUGUACUCCACUUGGCAACCAUGCAAUGCACGGCCAGUACAACACUCACCAUAUGCAUGCAAGAAGCGUUUUAUUUCUUGCACACAACACCUUUGCCGUCCAUGCCACUGGCGCAGGUGACACCAGCGAGCUCAGAUAGCACCGCGACAUCGUCGUUUCCACGGCUGACCCCAUAGCGCGCCACGCUGCAGUCUGGGGCGAACAGGCUGGAGGUGGUGAAGGUGGCAUCUCCACCCAUGGUGGGCAUGGAGGCCCUCACGUCGAAAUGGUUGACGUAGUCGGAGCGGUACGUCUGUCCGACCACACCGUGGACGUCGUCGGUGAGCGCGUCGAACUUGAACGCCAGCUCGAGGUGUGCUAGGCAGUCAUCGUCGGUAACGCCGUAGCGGUGCACCCUCGAUUCCUCCUCGGUGAUGGGCACGACGUUGGCCCUGAUGCUGAACUUUCCGUCAACGGCGACCAGCACGCCGUUGGCCGCCUUGG